This 791-nucleotide long non-coding RNA is filed under the name Nicotiana tabacum (common tobacco). RNAcentral describes it as "long non-coding RNA (NTAB_LNC019550)". The record is from RNAcentral. Lineage: Eukaryota; Viridiplantae; Streptophyta; Magnoliopsida; Solanales; Solanaceae.
UCUAAAACAAGCCAGACAUUUUGUGGCUACAAAUCAUAUCAUUAAUCGUAAAAUGAUAAAAUGAAAAGUUUAAAGUCAAUUCAAAUUUUACAAAUAUGUCAAUUCUUUUGGAAAGACUAACAAGGAAAGAGAGUCACACAAAUUGGAACGGUCAUAGAGUAAAAAUGAAAGAGCGACACAUAAAUUGGGACAGAGGGAGUACUAAUUAUGCACAUUUUUGCUAGUAAACAAUUACAUUCAUACAUAAACACACACAAUCAUAUCAUAAUGAGAGAGUGAAGAAUACUAACAGCAACUGCAUUAUUAAUUAUUUGUUCAGCUCUUCCCCCACCACCACGUCGGUUUAAACCAUAACUCAAACGCCCAUCAGAUCUAACCACACAAAACCUUCCUUUCCUCUCUGCACCAACAAACACAAACACAUGCAUCAAAACAAAACCAUAAACCUCACAAAUUUGACACAAAAGAUUCAAACUUUGGAUACUAAACAAGGUCCAAAUGGAGACAAACCCAAGAAUCAUAAAAAUUGAACCAAACAUACACAAUCAAUUAAGACAUAAAUUUAAGCAAAACUAACAAAACCCAAAUAAGGAAAAUAGCUAAAUGAUUCAUAAAAUGCAACGAACCUGAAAAGGAUGUGCGAGAAUUGGCGAAAAGUGACUUGUUGGAAUCCAAAGAAUUGGCUGAGGAAAGUGCAGUAGCAGCGCCAAUUCCUUGUAUAAUAGCAGCCAUUUAGAAUAAAAAUCCGUUCUUGAUUCAAACAAAACAAAGGAGUAUCAGAUUGAGAAUUC